Molecule: ribosomal RNA, 393 nt
Filed under: uncultured bacterium
Lineage: Bacteria
Description: partial 16S ribosomal RNA
Rfam family: Bacterial small subunit ribosomal RNA
Source: RNAcentral
AUACGGAGGACGCGAGCGUUAUCCGGAUUCAUUGGGUUUAAAGGGUGCGCAGGCGGCCGUGCAAGUCAGCGGUGAAAGCCCGGGGCCCAACCCCGGAAGUGCCGUUGAUACUGCAUGGCUUGAAUGCGGUCGAGGCGGGCGGAACGUGGCGUGUAGCGGUGGAAUGCAUAGAUAUGCCACAGAACGCCGAUAGCGGAGGCAGCUCGCCAGGCCUGCAUGGACGCUCGGGCACGAAAGCGUGGGGAUCGAACAGGAUUAGAUACCCUGGUAGUCCACGCCGUAAACGAUGGGCGCUCGUCGUCGGCGGCAGACAGUCGGCGGCCAAGCGAAAGCGAUAAGCGCCCCACCUGGGGAGUACGGUCGCAAGGCUAAAACUCAAAGGAAUUGACGGGG